Molecule: ribosomal RNA, 415 nt
Filed under: uncultured Bacillus sp.
Lineage: Bacteria; Bacillati; Bacillota; Bacilli; Caryophanales; Bacillaceae
Description: bacterial SSU rRNA
Rfam family: Bacterial small subunit ribosomal RNA
Source: RNAcentral
GAACCUUACCAGGUCUUGACAUCCCUGACAACCCGAGAGAUCGGGCGUUCCCCUUCGGGGGACAGGGUGACAGGUGGUGCAUGGUUGUCGUCAGCUCGUGUCGUGAGAUGUUGGGUUAAGUCCCGCAACGAGCGCAACCCUGACCUUAGUUGCCAGCAUUCAGUUGGGCACUCUAAGGUGACUGCCGGCUAAAAGUCGGAGGAAGUGGGGAUGACGUCAAAUCAUCAUGCCCCUUAUGACCUGGGCUACACACGUGCUACAAUGGGCGGUACAAAGAGUUGCGAUACCGCGAGGUGGAGCUAAUCUCAUAAAGCCGGUCUCAGUUCGGAUUGGAGUCUGCAACUCGACUCCAUGAAGUUGGAAUCGCUAGUAAUCGCGGAUCAGCACGCCGCGGUGAAUACCGGUUCCCGGCCUU